RNAcentral lists this ribosomal RNA (309 nucleotides) under Tetraclita japonica formosana. RNAcentral's name for it is "partial 12S ribosomal RNA". The record is from RNAcentral. Lineage: Eukaryota; Metazoa; Arthropoda; Thecostraca; Balanomorpha; Tetraclitidae.
UUGGAAUAAUAGUAUUAAUGAAAUUUAACGGAUUUGGCGGCAAGAUAGCCCCUUAGAGGAACCUGCCCUGUAAACGAUGAACCACGAGGGACGUAACUUUCUUUGGUAAUCAGUUUGUAUACCGCUGUUGUCAGUUAGAUUCUUGAGAAUAUUUUCGUUUAUGAUAAUUUCAUUGACUUCAAGUAAAGGUGCAGCUUAUAUGAAAGGUAGAGGUGGGUUACAUUUAUAAGAAUAAAACGGAUAAGAUAAAUGAAAGGAUCUUUGAAGGUGGAUUUAACUGUAAAACUUAAGUAGGUUUGGUGAGAGCUC